Polistes dominula (European paper wasp) is the source of this 128-nucleotide long non-coding RNA. Lineage: Eukaryota; Metazoa; Arthropoda; Insecta; Hymenoptera; Vespidae. The record is from RefSeq and is a predicted model, not a curated record.
GUAGAAGACUUCGGUCCGAUACACGGCGCCAGUUCGAACCGAGAGUCCGUACCUACGAGAAUUUGAAAAAAUUUUCGACAAAUUUUUCGUCAUUCAAUGAUGUUCGUCGUUUUCUUUGUAACAACCGG